CAGUCGCCGCGGUAAACGGAGGGUGCAAGCGUUAAUCGGAAUUACUGGGCGUAAAGCGUGCGUAGGUGGUGGUUUAAGUCCGUUGUGAAAGCCCUGGGCUCAACCUGGGAAUUGCAGUGGAUACUGGGUCACUAGAGUGUGGUAGAGGAUAGUGGAAUUUCCGGUGUAGCAGUGAAAUGCGUAGAGAUCGGAAGGAACAUCUGUGGCGAAGGCGACUAUCUGGGCCAACACUGACACUGAGGCACGAAAGCGUGGGGAGCAAACAGGAUUAGAUACCCCAGUAGUCCCUGUCUCUUAUACA
RNAcentral lists this ribosomal RNA (301 nucleotides) under uncultured bacterium. Its description in RNAcentral is "partial 16S ribosomal RNA". It matches the Rfam family "Bacterial small subunit ribosomal RNA", at positions 509 to 808 of the family's 1533-position model. The record is from RNAcentral.